UACGGGGGGAGCAAGCGUUGUUCGGAUUUACUGGGCGUAAAGGGCGCGUAGGCGGCCACCGCACGUCGGUUGUGAAAUCUCUGGGCUUAACCCAGAAAGGUCAACCGAUACUGCGGGGCUAGAGUGCAGAAGGGGCAACUGGAAUUCUCGGUGUAGCAGUGAAAUGCGUAGAUAUCAGGAGGAACACCGGUGGCGAAGGCGGAUCUCUGGGCCUGUUCUGACGCUGAGGAGCGAAAGCGUGGGGAGCGAACAGG
This 254-nucleotide ribosomal RNA is filed under the name uncultured bacterium. Its description in RNAcentral is "partial 16S ribosomal RNA". It matches the Rfam family "Bacterial small subunit ribosomal RNA", at positions 524 to 776 of the family's 1533-position model. The record is from RNAcentral.